This 1382-nucleotide ribosomal RNA is filed under the name Ceratomyxa sp. 3 PBS-2017. RNAcentral describes it as "bacterial SSU rRNA". It matches the Rfam family "Eukaryotic small subunit ribosomal RNA", at positions 319 to 1665 of the family's 1831-position model. The record is from RNAcentral. Lineage: Eukaryota; Metazoa; Cnidaria; Myxozoa; Bivalvulida; Ceratomyxidae.
CUAGUUGGUAGGGUAGUGGCCUACCAAGGUGGUAACGGGUAACGGGGAAUCAGGGUUUGAUUCCGGAGAGGGAGCCUUAGAAACGGCUACCACGUCCAAGGAAGGCAGCAGGCGCGCAAAUUACCCACUCUAGACACUGGGAGGUAGUGACGAGAAAUAACAGGGGCACCCUACAAGGGGGCCGUCUGUAAUGAACGAAACACAAAAGCAACGGUGAGGACCUACUGGAGGGCAAGUCUGGUGCCAGCAGCCGCGGUAAUUCCAGCUCCAGUAGUGUAUAUCAACAUUGUUGCGCUUAAAACGCUCGUAGUUGGGUUGGAGUGUUGUAGUGUACCCUGGUAAGAAGGGGUGCAUGUAACACUAGCUAACAUGUACCCUUGGAGUGGGCUGUUAGUUGGUGAAGAACACUUUUUGUAUCGGGCACCUUGUUGGUUUUGAGUAAGCAACAUGGUGAAACCUGGUGCAGUGUGCCUUGAGUAAAGCAUAAUGUCAAUAGUAAGCAAGGGAGCUUGUGUGUAAUAGCAUGGAACGAAAAGAUGACCAAAAACAAAGGAGGGUUCCUUGUGUUCGCCAUCCUAGCGAUGGGGUCUAGCUGUCCAAGAGGAAAGUUUGCGGGCACUGGUACUUUGGGGCGAGAGGUGAAAUUCUUAGACCCCCAAAAGACGGACUACUGCGAAGGCAUUUGCCAAAGAUGUUUCCGUUGAUCAAGAACGAAGGUCAGAGGAUCGAAGACGAUCAGAUACCGUCCUAGUUUUGACAGAAAACUCUGCCGGCGUAGGUGGGCAGCGGCUGGUCACUUGACAGGAGCCACUGCGGACCUAGGGGGAAACCUGAGCUUUCGGGCUGCUGGGAGAAUAUUGCUGCAAGGCUGAAAUUUAAAGAAAUUGACGGAGAGGCACCACCAGGAGUGGAGCUUGCGGCUUAAUUUGACUCAACACGGGGAAACUCACCGGGUCCAGACAUUGGAAGGAUUGACAGAGUGGUGGAUCUUUCAUGAUUCAGUGAAUGGUGGUGCAUGGCCGUUCUUAGUUGGUGGAGUGAUCUGUCAGGUUUAUUCCGGUAACGAGCGAGACCGUGGUCUCCGUUUGGUUUUUUGAUUUGGAGGCGUCCUCCCGUAGGGUGCUGGGUUGAAAACAACGGAGAGACUAUCGGUGCCAAGCCGGCGGAAGCGCGGCAAUAACAGGUCUGUGAUGCCCUGCGAUGUCCUGGGCUGCACGCGAGCUACAAUGGGGGAGAAAGAAGGUAGCUGGCCCGAGGGGGUUGGCGGAGCGUGAAUCUCCCCCGCGAUGGGGACUGAGCCUUGCAAUUAUUGCUCACGAAAGAGGAAUUCCUCGUAGACACAGGUCAUGAGCCUGUGUCGAAUACGUCUCUGCCUCUUGUAC